RNAcentral lists this ribosomal RNA (492 nucleotides) under uncultured bacterium. Its description in RNAcentral is "partial 16S ribosomal RNA". It matches the Rfam family "Bacterial small subunit ribosomal RNA", at positions 29 to 507 of the family's 1533-position model. The record is from RNAcentral.
AGUGAACGCUGGCGGUAGGCCUAACACAUGCAAGUCGAACGGCAGCACAGUAAGAGCUUGCUCUUACGGGUGGCGAGUGGUGGACGGGUGAGGAAUACAUCGGAAUCUACUUUUUCGUGGGGGAUAACGUAGGUAAACUUACGCUAAUACCGCAUACGACCUACGGUUGAAAGCAGGGGAUCUUCGGACCUUUCGCGAUUGAAUGAGCCGAUGUCGGAUUAGCUAGUUGGCGGGGUAAAGGCCCACCAAGGCGCCGAUCCGUAGCUGGUCUGAGAGGAUGAUCAGCCACACUGGAACUGAGACACGGUCCAGAGGCCUACGGGAGGCAGCAGUGGGGAAUAUUGGACAAUGGGCGCAAGCCUGAUCCAGCCAUACCGAGUGGGUGAAGAAGGCGUUCGGGUUGUGAAGCCCGUUUGUUGGGAAAGAAAAGCAGCAGGUUAAUACCACGCUGUUCUGACGGUAACCAAAGAAGAAGCACCGGCUAACUUCGUG